RNAcentral lists this ribosomal RNA (501 nucleotides) under uncultured bacterium. RNAcentral's name for it is "partial 16S ribosomal RNA". It matches the Rfam family "Bacterial small subunit ribosomal RNA", at positions 30 to 523 of the family's 1533-position model. The record is from RNAcentral.
AUUGAACGCUGGCGGCAGGCUUAACACAUGCAAGUCGAGCGGAGCGAGGGUGCUUGCACCUUAGCUUAGCGGCGGACGGGUGAGUAAUGCUUAGGAAUUUGCCUAUUAGUGGGGGACAACAUUCCGAAAGGAAUGAUAAUACCGCAUACGCCCUACGGGGGAAAGCAGGGGAUCUUCGGACCUUGCGCUAAGAGAUGAGCCUAGGGCGGAUUAGCUAGUUGGUGGGGUUAAGGCCGACCAAGGGGACGAUCUGUAGCGGGUCGGGGAGGAUGAUCCGCCACACUGGGACUGGGACACGGCCCAGACUCCUACGGGAGGCAGCAGUGGGGAAUAUUGGACAAUGGGCGGAAGCCUGAUCCAGCCAUGCCUCGUGUGUGAAGAAGGCCUUUUGGUUGUAAAGCACUUUAAGCGAGGAGGAGGCUACUUAGAUUAAUACUCUGGGAUAGUGGACGUUAUUCGCAGAAUAAGCACCGGCUAACUCUGUGCCAGCCGCCGCGGUAA